This 484-nucleotide ribosomal RNA is filed under the name Pseudomonas aeruginosa. RNAcentral describes it as "bacterial SSU rRNA". It matches the Rfam family "Bacterial small subunit ribosomal RNA", at positions 34 to 509 of the family's 1533-position model. Lineage: Bacteria; Pseudomonadati; Pseudomonadota; Gammaproteobacteria; Pseudomonadales; Pseudomonadaceae. The record is from RNAcentral.
UUGUCGCUGGCGGCAGGCCUAACACAUGCAAGUCGAGCGGAUGAAGGGAGCUUGCUCCUGGAUUCAGCGGCGGACGGGUGAGUAAUGCCUAGGAAUCUGCCUGGUAGUGGGGGAUAACGUCCGGAAACGGGCGCUAAUACCGCAUACGUCCUGAGGGAGAAAGUGGGGGAUCUUCGGACCUCACGCUAUCAGAUGAGCCUAGGUCGGAUUAGCUAGUUGGUGGGGUAAAGGCCUACCAAGGCGACGAUCCGUAACUGGUCUGAGAGGAUGAUCAGUCACACUGGAACUGAGACACGGUCCAGACUCCUACGGGAGGCAGCAGUGGGGAAUAUUGGACAAUGGGCGAAAGCCUGAUCCAGCCAUGCCGCGUGUGUGAAGAAGGUCUUCGGAUUGUAAAGCACUUUAAGUUGGGAGGAAGGGCAGUAAGUUAAUACCUUGCUGUUUUGACGUUACCAACAGAAUAAGCACCGGCUAACUUCGUGCC